GCUCAUGUUAGUUAGAACAAGGUCAGUCGGAGAAACUAUAAGAGAACACUGUUGGCCAGACUGUCCUUUCUGCUGGAACAGCCUUUGCUGAAAAUAGUACUACUACUACUUAAAAACCCAAACCAACAAAAACUAAUGCUUUAGAGUGAAGUCAUUGAGAAAAUUGAUACAUUUUUCUGAAGAAAUCAAAGUGUUCAAAGCUGGCUGGCCAACAGUGCCCUCCAGCCAGGAAUAACAGAAAAGGAUGCUGGCUCUUUUUCUUUGUUGUUUUUUGGAAGCAGGGGCAUGAUUAAGAGCAAUGACUGGGAACAUUCAUAUUGUGUCACUUGAACUGGAAUUCUUGGACCAGUGCAAGAUGAACUAAAGCAAACGUGUUUGCCAGCAAUAUUUUCAUUAAUCAAGAAC
Molecule: non-coding RNA, 405 nt
Filed under: Podiceps cristatus (great crested grebe)
Lineage: Eukaryota; Metazoa; Chordata; Aves; Podicipediformes; Podicipedidae
Description: Eukaryotic small subunit ribosomal RNA
Rfam family: Eukaryotic small subunit ribosomal RNA
Source: Rfam by way of RNAcentral